CUACGGGAUGCAGCAGUGGGGAAUAUUGCACAAUGGGCGAAAGCCUGAUGCAGCAACGCCGCGUGAGGGACGACGGCCUUCGGGUUGUAAACCUCUUUUAGCAGGGAAGAAGCGAAAGUGACGGUACCUGCAGAAAAAGCACCGGCUAACUACGUGCCAGCAGCCGCGGUAAUACGUAGGGUGCAAGCGUUGUCCGGAAUUAUUGGGCGUAAAGAGCUCGUAGGCGGGUUGUCGCGUCUGCUGUGAAAAUCCGAGGCUCAACCUCGGACCUGCAGUGGGUACGGGCAAACUAGAGUGCGGUAGGGGAGAUUGGAAUUCCUGGUGUAGAGGUGGAAUGCGCAGAUAUCAGGAGGAACACCAAUGGCGAAGGCAGAUCUCUGGGCCGUAACUGACGCUGAGGAGCGAAAGCGUGGGGAGCGAACAGGAUUAGAUACCCCUGUAGUC
Molecule: ribosomal RNA, 444 nt
Filed under: uncultured bacterium
Lineage: Bacteria
Description: partial 16S ribosomal RNA
Rfam family: Bacterial small subunit ribosomal RNA
Source: RNAcentral